This 482-nucleotide ribosomal RNA is filed under the name uncultured bacterium. RNAcentral describes it as "partial 16S ribosomal RNA". It matches the Rfam family "Bacterial small subunit ribosomal RNA", at positions 30 to 507 of the family's 1533-position model. The record is from RNAcentral.
AUUGAACGCUGGCGGCAUGCUUUACACAUGCAAGUCGAACGGUAACAGGCCGCAAGGUGCUGACGAGUGGCGAACGGGUGAGUAAUGCAUCGGAACGUGCCCAGUCGUGGGGGAUAACUACUCGAAAGAGUAGCUAAUACCGCAUACGAUCUAUGGAUGAAAGCGGGGGACCGUAAGGCCUCGCGCGAUUGGAGCGGCCGAUGUCAGAUUAGGUAGUUGGUGGGGUAAAGGCUCACCAAGCCAACGAUCUGUAGCUGGUCUGAGAGGACGACCAGCCACACUGGGACUGAGACACGGCCCAGGCUCCUACGGGAGGCAGCAGUGGGGAAUUUUGGACAAUGGGCGCAAGCCUGAUCCAGCAAUGCCGCGUGCAGGAAGAAGGCCUUCGGGUUGUAAACUGCUUUUGUACGGAACGAAACGGCUCUGGUUAAUACCCGGGGCUAAUGACGGUACCGGAAGAAUAAGCACCGGCUAACUACGUG